GUUAAAAAGCUCGUAGUCGAAUUUUUAAGGGAAUCAAUUUUAUGUGGUCUUAAUGAACUGCAAAGGAAGAUGAUUUAUCUUAUUUUAUGCUUUUGCACCAUUGGAAUUCGUUUUCUGAUAGUGGAGUAAGUUUGUGUUUACUUUGAGAAAAUUAGAGUGUUCAAAGCAGUCUUACGGCUUUAUAUUAAAGCAUGGAAUGAUAAAUAAUGACAUCGGUAGAUUUUUGUUGGUUUGAGAGACUGAUGUAAUGAUUUAUAGAGUUAGUCGGAGGUAUUAGUAUUGUUAUCGUUAGAAGUGAAAUUCUGGGAUCGACAAAAGACUAACAACUGCGAAAGCAUUUACCUAGAAUUUGCUCCUUGAUCAAGAACGUAAGUUGGGGGAUCGAAGACGAUCAGAUACCGUCGUAGUCUCAACUUUAAACUAUAUCAGCUAGGGGUUGGCAAAUGUUUAUAUGACUUUGUUAGAACCUUAAGAGAAAUCAAAGCGUUUGGGUUCCGGGGGGGAGUAUGG
Molecule: ribosomal RNA, 510 nt
Filed under: uncultured marine eukaryote
Lineage: Eukaryota
Description: SSU rRNA
Rfam family: Eukaryotic small subunit ribosomal RNA
Source: RNAcentral